RNAcentral lists this microRNA (22 nucleotides) under Eisenia fetida (common brandling worm). Its description in RNAcentral is "Efe-Mir-10-P7a_3p* (star (passenger))". Lineage: Eukaryota; Metazoa; Annelida; Clitellata; Crassiclitellata; Lumbricidae. The record is from RNAcentral.
CAAGCCUAGUCUACAGUGUUCA